CACAGUCUGUAAACUGCCAUAAAACGCAACAGAAGAAGAAGAAAAAGAAGAAGCGUAAAAUUAGUAGCUUUGCUGCUGUUAAUUGUCGGGUUUCCAGCCGGGUUUACGGCCCACUUCACGCAGUUUAGAUCCAACAUGACACUCUGGUGGUUCCGCUGAUGUUCCGGUUUUGGACUCCGGUCCGGACAGUUCUCAAGAGGUUCUGCAGCGCUUCAGACAUGCCGAACCCGAAAGGAAAGUUCUUCUACGCUGUCAGGAAGGGAGUCAAACCCGGAGUCUACAAGUCAUGGGAAGAGUGUAAGAUCCAGGUGGACAAGUUUCCAGCUGCGUCGUUUAAGAAGUUUGGAUCAGAACGAGACGCCUGGGCGUUCUUCAGAGGAGAAGACCCGUCUGCGGUUCCGGACCACAGCACAGGGACCUGGCCUGGAGAGACGGACGUCUCUCUGCUCCCCAGACGGGGCCCAGAACCGGUGGAGUGCAUCCCGCUAGGAAAGAAGAGGCCCCGCCCAGAGGAGGAGGCGGAGCUUCAGCCUAAACGAGCCAAGCCAUCAGAGAGCUCGUUAGCAGGAAGCAGUGAUGGGUUCACCUACAUGGGUGAUGCGGUGGUGGUGUACACCGACGGCUGCUGCUCAGCCAACGGGCAGGACCGGGCUCGGGCCGGGAUCGGGGUGUACUGGGGCCGGAACCACCCACUAAAUGUUGCAGAGCGGCUGCAGGGGCGGCAGACCAAUCAGAGAGCAGAGAUUCAGGUAAGACCCGCCCAUCACAUCCCGCCUCAGAAUCACCGUCCAAUCAACACGAGAACAGAGUGCGGCUUUAAAAACAGUUGGAACCUGAUUGGUCAGAAUGAACUGGUACAGUGCCCUCUAGUGGUUCAACUGCUUCAGUGCAGCAAAAUCCUUUUAUUUCUUCCUGUUUGGGGAUGAUGUACUUUCAUUUGUUUCAUUGUUCAAUUAAAAUAAUUAAUACAAUUCUGAGUCUAACAAGAGCUUAAAUUUUAAACAGAAUGAAAAUUUAAUGAAUUAGUCUUAGAAUUAAACAAAAUGUCUGAAGUUAAAAAGACUCGUCACUCUGCGUGUAAACCAACACUCAGUUUACCUGUUAACUGACUUGUUAAUGACUCAUUAGUGGUUAACGACUCGAUACCUGGUCAUUAACCAGGUAACUGGUCACUGACUAGUUAACUAGUUAGUGAAUCGUUAGUGACUCGUUAGCUGGUUAGUUAGUCGUUAGCUAGUUAAUGACUUGUUAGUUACUCGUUAGCUGGUUAAUGACUUGUUAGUGACUCGUUAGCUGGUUAAUGACUCAUUAGUGACUCGUUAACUGGUUAGUGACUCGUAAGUAACUCGGUAGCUGGUUAGUGACUCAGUUGCUGGUUAAUGACUUGUUAGUGACUCGUUUAGCUGGUUAGUGACUCGGUAAUGUCUCCGCCCCCAGGCGGCCUGCAGGGCUCUGGAACUGGCCCGGCAGAACCACCUCCAGAAGCUGGUUCUCUACACUGACAGCAAGUUCACCAUCAACGGUGUGACCACCUGGGUGAAGACCUGGAAACUGAACGGCUGGAGGCUGAAGUCUGGCGGUCCGAUCACCAA
Molecule: RNA transcript, 1592 nt
Organism: Xiphophorus couchianus (Monterrey platyfish)
Lineage: Eukaryota; Metazoa; Chordata; Actinopteri; Cyprinodontiformes; Poeciliidae
Gene: rnaseh1
Gene name: ribonuclease H1
Exons: 7
Source: RefSeq, a predicted model, not a curated record